GCCUGAAACUUCUUUAUGUCACUCAUCUGAAUUCUUACCCUUGAGAGGACAAGGACCAAGAAAAUCACUGUUCCAUCAGCAACAUCUCCAUUCCCCGACAGAGCCGAGAAACAUCCUGGAACGUCUCAAGCUCAAGUCCUCGAGACACGGUAGGAGCAACACCACGCCCGCUAGGAGCCGAGGUGUGUUUCGCUGCAGGAACUCGCCCUGCUCUCAGCGUCUCCAGCCUGAGCCCGCCUGGACAGUGACGGAAUACGCGGCGGCGCUGUGCCGUCCCAAACGAGGCCCUCCUAGGACAGCCAGCGCUGACGCUUCAUCGAGGCCGGAAGCGCCUUCCGGAUGGGACAAAUCCACACUGCCAGCUGUAAAACUAAGGGAUGAAUGAAUGAUGAGUUGCAAGCCCUUGAUGAGGAGGCACCACUGAUUGAAGACUCCAUUAUUCAUUUCUUGCACAUCUUACUCCAUAGCCUAAUGGAUGGUAAGUUUCUUCUGAAACCGACUCUAAGAUAAUGCAUGGUAUUCUGGACAUUAAAAUGUGAAAAGAUAAUGUGACUGAGAAAUAAGGGGAAAGGCCUCAUUGUUUUCCGCAUUUCUCAUACUUUCUGCCUCUUGUCCCUGGCUAGAACAAUUCCCUCUGCUUUCUACUGCUGCAGGACUACAUAACCAAAUCCCAUCUACCUAAAAAUCUAUCCAAAUAGAAAAGAAAUCCUUGAGCAUCUUUCUCUUCACUGAGCUACUUGAACUCCCCAAGAAAAUGACUAGAACCACUCAUCGGCACUUGUCACUCCCCACUUGAUACUGACAACUCUUUCUUUAAUAUUAGAUUGUCUGCAGGUUGAGGACAAUUCAGGAUUUAUUGACUAUUUCACAUUCUCUUUUUGCCAUGCCAGUGCGACAUUCUAAAUACAAUGUCUAUAAGAUACUAUGCAACACAUAUUUGUUAAGCAAAUUACUCAGUGACAAACACACGUUUAAUAAACCUCGGAUUUCUAACACUUCAUUUUCAUUCUAUCACUAAUUAACCAUGUGAUCUGAGACAAUUUACUUAACCUCCUAGGGCUGAGGUCUCAAAUGAUACAAUAGAUGAGAUAAUGGGUGUGUGAAUACUCCAUAGAAAUCAUAAGAUCAGUUCACGGUACUGGCAUUGUUUUCUUUUCUGAGAAAGGAGACGAUGGAAUCUGAUCUAUUUCAAAAACAGUCUGUGAGUACCAUUCCACAACGAUAGGACUCAAGUUUUUGCUUUUUCCUUGAAAGCACGAGGUGACUUAAGCGAUCAGAGAACCUGCCUCUUACAAAGCUUCUCUGGGUCCCAGAUGCACCCGUGAAUAACCCUGCUGUGAUCAUUCCAGACAGCUUUGCACCCUGUGGCCAGGUCAAAUAAGACCAGAAGUAUUAUGAACCGACACUUACCAGGCCUCUCUCUCAUACUCUGAGGUCAAAGGAGCCAUUCUUGGGACUUCCCUGGCAGCUCAGUUGUUGAGACUCACUCUCCAGUGCAGAGAGUGCGGGUUCAGGCCCUGGUUGGGGAACUAAGAUCCUACAUGUCAUGCAGCACAACCAAAAUAAAGACAUUAAAAAAGAACAAAGGAGCCACUCUCACCAAGAAAGAGAGAGGUGUUAUUACAGCGCAUAAAUCACCCACGAGUUUGGUUCAAAACUUUUUUAUUAGCUAAAACUUUUAUUAAUAAAAGUAGAUUAAAAACAUAUUAAGAGUUCAAUAUUUUAAAGAAUCACCCUUAGGAAACAGGCACAUGGUGACUGGUGUUAGCUGUAAUGAUAUA
Long non-coding RNA from Bubalus bubalis (water buffalo), 1781 nucleotides. RefSeq lists it as uncharacterized. The record is from RefSeq and is a predicted model, not a curated record. The transcript is spliced from 3 exons. Lineage: Eukaryota; Metazoa; Chordata; Mammalia; Artiodactyla; Bovidae.